GACGAACGCUGGCGGCGUGCUUAACACAUGCAAGUCGAACGGAAAGGCCCUGCUUUUGUGGGGUGCUCGAGUGGCGAACGGGUGAGUAACACGUGAGUAACCUGCCCUUGACUUUGGGAUAACUUCAGGAAACUGGGGCUAAUACCGGAUAGGAGCUCCUGCUGCAUGGUGGGGGUUGGAAAGUUUCGGCGGUUGGGGCUGGACUCGCGGCUUAUCAGCUUGUUGGUGGGGUAGUGGCUUACCAAGGCUUUGACGGGUAGCCGGCCUGAGAGGGUGACCGGCCACAUUGGGCCUGAGAUCCGGCCCAGACUCCUACGGGAGGCAGCAGUGGGGAAUAUUGCACAAUGGGCGGAAGCCUGAUGCAGCAACUCCGCGUGCGGGAUGACGGCCGUCGGGUUGUAAACCGCUUUCGCCUGUGACGAAGCGUGAGUGACGGUAAUGGGUAAAGAAGCACCGGCUAACUACGUG
RNAcentral lists this ribosomal RNA (468 nucleotides) under uncultured bacterium. RNAcentral's name for it is "partial 16S ribosomal RNA". It matches the Rfam family "Bacterial small subunit ribosomal RNA", at positions 28 to 507 of the family's 1533-position model. The record is from RNAcentral.